RNAcentral lists this ribosomal RNA (489 nucleotides) under uncultured bacterium. RNAcentral describes it as "partial 16S ribosomal RNA". It matches the Rfam family "Bacterial small subunit ribosomal RNA", at positions 899 to 1397 of the family's 1533-position model. The record is from RNAcentral.
ACUCAAAUGAAUUGACGGGGACUCGCACAAGUGGUGGAUUAUGUGGCUCAAUUCGUCGACAAACGAAGAACCUUACCAAGGUUAGAAAUCCAGCUGCAUCCAGACCGAAAGGAUUGGAGCCUUCGAGGGUGCUGGACAGGUGAUGCAUGGUCGUCGUCAGUUCGUGGUUUGAACUGUUCCCUUCAGUGGGGUAACGAACGCAACCCCCGUUGUCUGUUGCCUAUAUGGCCAGGCGAGACUGCUCCCUCACGGGAGAGGAAGGUGGGGAUGACGCCAGAUCAGCAUGUCCCUCUGAUACCUUGGGCUGCACACAUAAUACAAUGGUCGGUACAACGGGCUGCAAUACCGCAAGGUGGAGCCAAUCCUUAUAAAACCGACCCCAGUACGGAUAGAGGUCUGCAACCGACCUCUUGAAGCCGGAAUCACUAGUAAUCCCGGGUCAGCCAAACCGGGGUGAAUACGUUCUCGAGUCUUGUACACACCGCCCGU